Molecule: ribosomal RNA, 497 nt
Filed under: uncultured bacterium
Lineage: Bacteria
Description: partial 16S ribosomal RNA
Rfam family: Bacterial small subunit ribosomal RNA
Source: RNAcentral
GACGAACGCUGGCGGCGUGCCUAAUACAUGCAAGUAGAACGCUGAAGCGAGGAGCUUGCUCUUCUUGGAUGAGUUGCGAACGGGUGAGUAACGCGUAGGUAACCUGCCUUGUAGCGGGGGAUAACUAUUGGAAACGAUAGCUAAUACCGCAUAACAAUGGAUGCCACAUGUCAUUUAUUUGAAAGGGGCAAUUGCUCCACUACAAGAUGGACCUGCGUUGUAUUAGCUAGUAGGUGAGGUAAUGGCUCACCUAGGCGACGAUACAUAGCCGACCUGAGAGGGUGAUCGGCCACACUGGGAAUGGGACACGGCCCAGACUCCCACGGGAGGCAGCAGUAGGGAAUCUUCGGCAAUGGGGGCAACCCUGACCGAGCAACGCCGCGGGAGGGAAGAAGGUUUUCGGAUCGUAAAGCUCUGUUGUAAGUCAAGAACGGGUGUGAGAGUGGAAAGUUCACACUGUGACGGUAGCUUACCAGAAAGGGACGGCUAACUACGUG